AAUUUAGAAUUUAGGUAAAAAUCAGCAUUUAUAAAUUGACAUGCACCAAUUCCCUUGUUUGGAUUCAUAAACAUAGAAAUUUAGAAUUUCUGCAUGGAAAAAAACUUAGAAUUUGGGACCUCCAAUUCCCAAGUUUAAAUUCCAUGUAAAUAGGUGUCAUUUCCCAAUUUCUAUGAUUGAAAGUUUAAAAAUAAAAAUUCCGUAUUCAAAUCCAUUGUUCUUUUAGGUUUACCAAAUAAGAAAAUUCACAAAUGCAGGAAAAUAAAAUCACGUCAUUUCAAUUUCCAUCAUUUUAAAAUGCCUUAAUAAUCUUAAAUUUCUUCAUCCUAAGCCCUUGUAAAGAAUUUUCUCACAAUUCAUAUGAAUUCUAUGAAAGUUAUCAUUAAUUUACUCAAAAUCCCUAGGAAUUUUUUUUUUCUCUCUCUCUCUCUCAAACUCUCCCGAAUUCCAUGAAUUUAAAAAUUCCCUAGAACUCUUCCAAAAUCCUAAUUGAAUACACCCCCUUAGUUUCCUUAUCUUUUGUAAAUAAGGCAUGUGACAAUAUAUUAUAAAGGGUGAAUUGCCAAUGUAGUCCAUAAAUUAUCACCUCAAUGAAAAUUAGGUCGCUAAACUAUUUUUUUCCAGAAAAAUCAGUCAUUGAAUUAUAAAAAUCUACCAAUUACAUCCCUAAUAUUAUAUUCUAAGCUACUAUAUUCAAUUUUUUGUCAAUUUAAGCCACGUUACUUGCAUGUGAUAUUGACACACCCCGACCGAAAUCGAGGCAUGUUGGCCGUCACAUGAGGGUGACGUAGCCAUGUGCACAGUGCGGAAGCAAUAAGGAUAAAGAAUAUACGAAUAAAUAAAAAUCGAAAGCUACUAAUGUGCACUAAUAAACAGGAAGUGCUAAGAGUGAAAUACAAGUCUAAAUACACCUAAUCAGAGCGUAGAAAGUCUAGGUGCAGUCCAGUAAGACAAGUACCAAUUAUACAGUACCAUAAGAUGUCCUACAAUCAUUUUAAUAUGUUAGAACCACCGAAAUCCUCGUACGCCACCAAACAGCAAGCUUACCUAAAACCUGGAGGGGUGCAAAACAGAAAAUGUGAGUGGGCCAAAACAAAUGUUUUACAAAACCAUUUCAUUUCUCAACAGUUCUAACCCCUCGCCGUAAAACAUGUAUAAUUUUUCCCAAAAAUAGAAUAUAAACAUAUGCAUAAAUGUACAUAUAAGUAUCUCAAUUCACAUCAUGCUUCACAUAACCAUAUUCAUAAGUAUACUAUGCCAAAACAUAAAAAAUAGAAUUAGUAACUCAGGUGAGAAUAGAUUCAUAGAAAAUAAUAUAUUAGCCGGAACCCCUGCAUAAGUCUGUAAGGCUAAAUUCAUAGCUCAUUAGUCAACCUAGCCGGAGUUACUACCGUGACUUAUACGGCACUACACUGCAUAUAAGUCGGAACCACUAAGAAGGGGUCUGUACGACAAGACUGGGUGUAAUAUAGUUAUGCUCAAUACUACUCUCUCAUGAUAGCUGGGCGAUAAAUAGCUAGUCACCUACGAGUCGGAACCACCUAUGAUGGUCUGUAAGACAAGACUAUGCACCUAAAUUGGAUCCAAUACGAGCAUAUGGUGCUGGAGGUGACAUUAUAUACAGGCCUAUGCCCUAUCUCUGGCUAAUCAUUAACACCGGGGUGCAGGUUUAUGAGCUCAAUGUUUCUCAAUCACAUAUCACAUCAUCGAUACAUCACAUAACCAAACAUAACUCACCUGGUACUUACCUGAGCGUCCACAGCACCAUAAUUAUAUAUUACGCAUCAUAUAUCAACUCAUAUACAGAAUAUAAAUUUAUAUGCAUGGCAAUUCAAGGCAUACUUCAUUUAAACGUAGUUUUCUGGGAAAAUAUCAAGUAUAUAAGUAUAUACUGAAAACUAAAAGCCCACUCACUAGUAUGUUGAAGGGUCGUAGCCCCCGGGUCACCCUUGACCGCACUCGUCCUCGGGAUAAGUCUCCCCUAUAUGCGAAACAACUAUAAAAACAUCAUUUAAAGCACAUAGACAAAACUAGCUAAUAACUUCUCAUACAAUGCUCAAAUGGGGUGUUUGAAUAUACCAACGUGAUCUACACAACUCCACGAACAUCCUCAUAUUUUUAGAAAAAAAGUUCAACCACCCACACGCUACCCACGCACAGGGACCCUAACGGAAUCCCUUAACCCCGUUAGGAAUACUUCGUGGAAUAUUCCGUUAAACAGUAAUGGAAUCCGUUAAACUAACCAACGCCGUUAGGAAAUUCCAUCAAAGUUGACGGAAUAUUCCAUCAUCCCCUACCUCAGAACUCCGGCGACCAUCGCCGGCUCUGGAAACUGGGAAAUUCUUUAAACCUUCGUUUCUCAUCCAUUUCUUAGUCAAAUUUCACUAAUUAUAUACCAAAAUGAAGCUUAAGACAAGUAGAACAAACCCUUACCAGUUUUAGGACCUAAAUCUCACGGGAUCUUGCCAGAAAAAUCCACGAUAAUCCGGCCAAACUUAAAACUCGUCGUUCUCAAUACUUCGACGUCCAAAUUCUUCCAACGAACCACUCCCAGCCUCGUGAGGACCUUUUUAAGCUACCUAUAAGUUUGAAAUCCCCAAAAACACGUGAUUUUACGUUUUCAUGAAUAGUACCUAAAUCGGAGUUCGAGAGAAACUAGGGUUUUCGAAAGAGUUCUUACCUAAAAAUGGUACCAUUCGACUCGUAUGAAUCUCAGGAACACGAUAGUGUCCUUUAAACCCUUGAUCUGCAAACUUUCUACUAUAUUUGUUAUUCGUCCGUAUGGGAGAAAGGAGAGAGAGUGAGUCCGAGGGAGAGAGAGCACGGGAGAGAAGAGAGAGGAAGGGUUUGUGUGUGUGUGUGAGUGGUCCACGUGGGUCACCAACCAAAACCACAAAAGCUAAGUGCUACUUUGGUCCAAAAAUUAAGGAAAAACAUAAGUUUGGACCACCCCUAACAUGCAUAACAUACACCACAACACUCACGUCCAAGGGUAAAAUAGUCAAUUCACAUCAUCGAUAAUUCAUUUCGAGACGGGCUGUGACAGAUACACAUUUGAGGGUAGAUUGGCAGUUUUUUCAUAAAAAAAUAGCUUAUGAAGUUAACUUUGGAGGGUAAAUUAUUGAUAGGUUUUCAUAAGAAAUAGUGUAAGUUAAUUUUGAGGGUAAAUUAGACGUUAGAUUCACCACUAUAUGAAAUGUUAAGGGUUUAUACGCAAGGAAAUAACGGUAUUACACUCCAAAGUGUGUAAAGUGACUUAAGUUGACGAAAAAAUAGAUAUAAUAGCUUUUAAUUGUUGUAAACUUUCCUAGUUUAAGUGUGAUUGUGUAAAUCCUAGAUUAUAUUUGAUUCUAGUUAUCCUUUCCUAUUACAACUUGUAUUCCUUGGGGAUGAAGGAAUUUCUUCUCUCUCUUUACUACUAUAAAUAAAGGCACUACAAUUCUACAAUUCUACAAACACAUCUCUCUCAAUUUAUCUACCCUUGCCGCCGGCCCUAUUCCCUUUGUCAGAUAAAAUA
RNAcentral lists this long non-coding RNA (3517 nucleotides) under Malus domestica (apple). Its description in RNAcentral is "long non-coding RNA (MDOM_LNC001790)". The record is from RNAcentral. Lineage: Eukaryota; Viridiplantae; Streptophyta; Magnoliopsida; Rosales; Rosaceae.